AUGAACGCUGGCGGCGUGCCUAAUACAUGCAAGUCGAGCGAACAGACGAGGAGCUUGCUCCUCUGACGUUAGCGGCGGACGGGUGAGUAACACGUGGAUAACCUACCUAUAAGACUGGGAUAACUUCGGGAAACCGGAGCUAAUACCGGAUAAUAUAUUGAACCGCAUGGUUCAAUAGUGAAAGACGGUUUUGCUGUCACUUAUAGAUGGAUCCGCGCCGCAUUAGCUAGUUGGUAAGGUAACGGCUUACCAAGGCGACGAUGCGUAGCCGACCUGAGAGGGUGAUCGGCCACACUGGAACUGAGACACGGUCCAGACUCCUACGGGAGGCAGCAGUAGGGAAUCUUCCGCAAUGGGCGAAAGCCUGACGGAGCAACGCCGCGUGAGUGAUGAAGGUCUUCGGAUCGUAAAACUCUGUUAUUAGGGAAGAACAAAUGUGUAAGUAACUAUGCACGUCUUGACGGUACCUAAUCAGAAAGCCACGGCUGACUACGUG
This 496-nucleotide ribosomal RNA is filed under the name uncultured bacterium. Its description in RNAcentral is "partial 16S ribosomal RNA". It matches the Rfam family "Bacterial small subunit ribosomal RNA", at positions 29 to 507 of the family's 1533-position model. The record is from RNAcentral.